GAAGAAGGACCGGUUACUAUUGGAUGAUCCGGACUGUGUUGAAUGUCACCUGUCAAAGAGCAUGUGUUGAAUGAGGAGCAGAGCGUUUGUGCCCCUGCUGAAGGAGUUAAGGAGAGGAGAUCAACAUGACAGAUUCUGAUGGUGAUCCUGAAGAAAGUGAUUCUGAUGAUGAUGAUACUCUUGCUGGAGCUGCAGGAGACUCCAGUAAUGCUGGU
Molecule: long non-coding RNA, 215 nt
Organism: Carassius carassius (crucian carp)
Lineage: Eukaryota; Metazoa; Chordata; Actinopteri; Cypriniformes; Cyprinidae
Exons: 3
Source: RefSeq, a predicted model, not a curated record